CAGCCGCCGCGGGAAUACAGAGGCCUCAAGCGUUGUUCGGAUUCAUUGGGCGUAAAGGGUGCGUAGGUGGCUUGGUAAGUUGAAGGUGAAAUCUCGGGGCUUAACCCCGAAACUGCCUUCAAUACUGCUAGGCUCGAGGACUGUAGAGGAGAAUGGAAUUCACGGUGUAGCAGUGAAAUGCGUAGAUAUCGUGAGGAAGACCAGUGGCGAAGGCGAUUCUCUGGGCAGUUCCUGACACUGAGGCACGAAGGCCAGGGGAGCAAACGGGAUUAGAUACCCCAGUAGUCCCUGUCUCUUAUAA
This 301-nucleotide ribosomal RNA is filed under the name uncultured bacterium. RNAcentral describes it as "partial 16S ribosomal RNA". It matches the Rfam family "Bacterial small subunit ribosomal RNA", at positions 509 to 809 of the family's 1533-position model. The record is from RNAcentral.